UACUCCUACGGGAGGCAGCAGUGGGUAAUCUUGCGCAAUGGGCGCAAGCGGGAUGCAGCCCAACCGCGGAAUCAAGAAGCCGUUAGGGUGGUAAAGUGAGAAGGCGGGGAGGAAGUAAAGCUGUUUAAUCCGUGAUGAUAUUGACUGACCG
RNAcentral lists this ribosomal RNA (151 nucleotides) under uncultured bacterium. RNAcentral describes it as "partial 16S ribosomal RNA". The record is from RNAcentral.